Molecule: long non-coding RNA, 444 nt
Organism: Rhopalosiphum maidis (corn leaf aphid)
Lineage: Eukaryota; Metazoa; Arthropoda; Insecta; Hemiptera; Aphididae
Exons: 3
Source: RefSeq, a predicted model, not a curated record
UACUGUUAAUAAUUCUAAUAGUUUUAUUGAACAGUCGUUAAACAACAGUCUUUAGUGUAUGACAAGUGCUCUCAUUUUUAUAGAGUUUUUUAAUAUUUCCAUUUCGAAGAGCAAAGAAGACGAAUGAAGAAAUAAGAGCUAGCUGUUUCUUCGGCAGUGGUGCACAUUUGAACUGUAAAUGUGGUUCAGCUCGAUUUCUCCGAACAACGUCGAAGAAUACUUACAAUCAUGAUGAAGAUCGUAUGAAGAAAAUUUGGAGUUUUGUCGGCGGCGGUGCAGUACUCCGUAUACACUGUAGAUUGGUACAACUCCGUUUCCCGAGAAGAGUCGACGCUUAGAUCAUGCCAUAAUAUCGGAAAAACAAAAAAACUGAAAUAAUGACGCCAUAUCCUUGUAUAAUGUCAACCCGGAGGACGAUUGGGGCAGCAUCAAUAAGAAACUCAU